RNAcentral lists this long non-coding RNA (1071 nucleotides) under Hordeum vulgare. RNAcentral describes it as "long non-coding RNA (HVUL_LNC002295)". The record is from RNAcentral. Lineage: Eukaryota; Viridiplantae; Streptophyta; Magnoliopsida; Poales; Poaceae.
GGGUUCAUUCACAAGGGUGGGGUUUGGUGUUUCCUCCUGCUCGCACUGGUGUUGCUGGCUCCGGCGACAGUAGGCGCAGAGCAUGAGGAUGGGGCCACAACCAUCGCCACCUUACAGGUGGAGGAGGAGGUUGGCUCUCGCGGCGAUGACCAUGGCAACGACGACUGCGACAUCAAGUGUGCAUAUCAUCAAGAUCAGGCCAGUAGACAGUUCUGCGUGGACCAGUGCCACAGCCAGCAACAUCAUCAUCCUAGCAGAGAGUUCUGCGAGAUGAAAUGUCAACACUGGCAAGAUCUGGUAAGGAAGGAACAAUGUGUGCAACAGUGCAUGAGCUUUGGCCUCACCCUCCAUGUUCGCAACAACGACGACGUCAACGGGCGACGCCAUGCCUGGAAGGAGGAGGUAAUUGGCUCUCGCGGCGAUGACCAUGGCAACGACGACUGCGACAUUAAAUGUGCGUAUCAUCAAGAUCAGGCCAGUAGACAGUUCUGCGUGGACCAGUGCCACAGCCAGCAGCAUCAUCAUCCUAGCAGAGAGUUCUGCGAGAUGAAAUGUCAACACUGGCAAGACCUGGUAAGGAAGGAACAAUGUGUGCAACAGUGCAUGAGCUUUGGCCUCACCCUCCAUGUUGGCAACAACGACGAUGUCGACGGGCGACGCCAUGCCCGGGAGGAGGAGGUUGGCUCUCGCGGCGAUAACCAUGGCAACGACGACUGCGACAUCAAGUGUGCAUAUCAUCAAGAUCAGGUCAGCAGACAGUUCUGCGUGGACCAGUGCCACAGCCAGCAACAUCAUCAUCCUAGCAGAGAAUUCUGCGAGAUGAAAUGUCAACACUGGCAAGACCCGGUAAGGAAGGAACAAUGCGUGCAACAGUGCAUGAGCUUUGGCCUCAACGGCUGGGAAGCAGUGGCCGGAGCCAUCAUCGAGAUGGUGUGACGGCCGCGGCGGCGCAUCUAUAAUACUCUAUUAACUAUUAAGAGUGUAUGUAAGUUAUAGCGCGUACGUGCCACCGGCGGGUAGCAGCUCUAUACGAAGACCUCUGCCUUGGCCGACUAUGGCUCGUGCGUACGU